Molecule: ribosomal RNA, 240 nt
Filed under: uncultured bacterium
Lineage: Bacteria
Description: partial 16S ribosomal RNA
Rfam family: Bacterial small subunit ribosomal RNA
Source: RNAcentral
CGCAUGCAGGUUGGUUUAGUUAAGUCAGAUGUAGAAACGGCCCGGGGCUACAACCGUACGGUAAUUGCUAUUUAGAAACGUGGACAAACUAGAGUACUGUAGAGGGGGUAGAAUUUCAGGUGUAGCGGUGAAAUGCGUAGAGAUCUGAAGGAAUACCGGUGGCGAAGGCGGCCCCCUGGACAGAUACUGACACUCAGAUGCGAAAGCGUGGGGAGCAAACAGGAUUAGAUACCCUGGUAG